CUCAAGCUCUUCUCCUACCGCGACGUCAACUCGUGGUGCCGCAGGGCCAGGGCCAAGGCUGCCUCUGCAGGGAAGAAGGCCAGCAGUGCUGCUGCCCCGCACACCGUGAGCUACCCGGACAAUCUGACCUACCGCGGUGAGGACCUCUGUGGGCCUGAGGUGCGGGGGACAGGCUAGGCCUGUUCUGGCACCAACCCCCCAUUCCCAUUCCAGAUCUCUACUACUUCCUCUUCGCCCCCACCUUGUGCUACGAGCUCAACUUUCCCCGCUCUCCCCGCAUCCGGAAGCGCUUUCUGCUGCGACGGAUCCUUGAGAUGCUGUUCUUCACCCAGCUCCAGGUGGGGCUGAUCCAGCAGGUAAGUGGGGUAGGGCAGGGUUGGGUGCAGCUGGGCAUGGCUGGGAGCUGACGUGGUGCCCUCCUUUGCAGUGGAUGGUCCCCACCAUCCAGAACUCCAUGAAGCCCUUCAAGGACAUGGACUACUCACGCAUCAUCGAGCGCCUCCUGAAGCUGGCGACACUUCUACAAGCCCAUGCUUCGACGGGGCAGCA
This 549-nucleotide small RNA is filed under the name Pan troglodytes (chimpanzee). RNAcentral's name for it is "processed transcript". Lineage: Eukaryota; Metazoa; Chordata; Mammalia; Primates; Hominidae. The record is from RNAcentral.